This is a ribosomal RNA of Oncorhynchus mykiss (rainbow trout), 118 nucleotides long. The record is from Ensembl. NCBI's taxonomy places the organism in Eukaryota, Metazoa, Chordata, Actinopteri, Salmoniformes, Salmonidae.
GCUUACGGCCAACCGGCCUGAGUACGCCUGAUCUCGUCCGAUCUCGGAAGCUAAGCAGGGUCGGGCCUGGUUAGUACUUGGAUGGGAGACCGCCUGGGAAUACCAGGUGCUGUAAGCU